AAUGGCCUUUUCUCAACAAGGCCCGCACACUACAUGCAUAAUUUCAGCAAACGACGCUCUGUGCACGGCGACACUGCGUCAACCAGCAACCUCUGGUGGGAUAGUGACAUAUGAGAUAUUGGAUGAUCAAGAUGUCUUCUUUGCCAAUUUGCUAGGUGGCUGUCUUGGUUGCAUUGUCAAAUCUGCAACUCGAGCUAAGGGAGAUAUGGGGCUGCAGCGACAAAGGUAAAGCUGUUGCCUGUGCUUUGUCCAAUGUUACUCCUUUUAGUAAAUGUUUAGCUAGUACUCUCAGUUUUGUGGUUGUGCACAGAGUUUGUUAUGUUGAUGCCAAAUAUUUGGAGAAGAUUUGGGUAGAUGGGUGCCAAAAGUCUACGCGUCUUGUGUACUUUGUUGUUAUGUUGAUGCAACACUAGGAUAUAUUUGUAUUUAGUGGAUUCAUGUUGGACUACUAAUAAUAUAUAUAAUCGUGUGUAUUAGGUCA
Sorghum bicolor (sorghum) is the source of this 481-nucleotide long non-coding RNA. RefSeq lists it as uncharacterized. The transcript has 2 exons. The record is from RefSeq and is a predicted model, not a curated record. Lineage: Eukaryota; Viridiplantae; Streptophyta; Magnoliopsida; Poales; Poaceae.